RNAcentral lists this ribosomal RNA (429 nucleotides) under Pseudomonadota bacterium. Its description in RNAcentral is "Proteobacteria bacterium partial 16S ribosomal RNA". It matches the Rfam family "Bacterial small subunit ribosomal RNA", at positions 355 to 776 of the family's 1533-position model. Lineage: Bacteria; Pseudomonadati; Pseudomonadota. The record is from RNAcentral.
UGGGGAAUAUUGGACAAUGGGCGAAAGCCUGAUCCAGCCAUGCCGCGUGUGUGAAGAAGGUCUUCGGAUUGUAAAGCACUUUAAGUUGGGAGGAAGGGCAGUAAGCGAAUACCUUGCUGUUUUGACGUUACCGACAGAAUAAGCACCGGCUAACUCUGUGCCAGCAGCCGCGGUAAUACAGAGGGUGCAAGCGUUAAUCGGAAUUACUGGGCGUAAAGCGCGCGUAGGUGGUUCGUUAAGUUGAAUGUGAAAGCCCCGGGCUCAACCUGGGAACUGCAUCCAAAACUGGCGAGAUAGAGUAGGGCAGAGGGUGGUGGAAUUUCCUGUGUAGCGGUAAAAUGCGUAGAUAUAGGAAGGAACACCAGUGGCGAAGGCGACCACCUGGGCUCAUACUGACACUGAGGUGCGAAAGCGUGGGGAGCAAACAGG